AGUUCGGAAGGGAGAGGCGGAAUUCCCAGGUGUAGUGGUGAAAUACGUAGAUAUCUGGAAGAACCCCAGAGGCGAAGGCGGCCCUCUUGGUCCGUAACUGACGCUGAGGCGCGAAAGCGUGGGGAGCAAACAGGAUUAGAUACCCCUGGUAGUCCACGCUGUAAACGAUGAAUACUAGGUGUUGGUCCCAUUGGGAUCCAGUGCCGCAGCAAACGCCAUUAAGUAUUCCCACCUGGGGAGUACGAUCCGCAAGGUUGAAACUCAAAGGAAUUGACGGGGGCCCGCACAAGGCAGUGGAGCAUGUGGUUUAAUUCGAUGCAACGCGAAGAACCUUACCGGGACUUGACAUUAUCCUGCCCGCCUAAGAAAUUAGGUUUUCUUUCCUUCGGGAAAGACGAGAUAACAGGUGGUGCAUGGUUGUCGUCAGCUCGUGUCGUGAGAUGUUGGGUUAAGUCCCACAACGAGCGCAACCCUUGUCCUUAGUUGCCAGUCUGUUUUCAGACGCACUCUAAGGAGACUGCCGCAGAUAAUGCGGAGGAAGGUGGGGAUGACGUCAAAUCAUCAUGCCCCUUACGUCCCGGGCUACACACGUGCUA
RNAcentral lists this ribosomal RNA (596 nucleotides) under uncultured bacterium. RNAcentral's name for it is "bacterial SSU rRNA". It matches the Rfam family "Bacterial small subunit ribosomal RNA", at positions 645 to 1227 of the family's 1533-position model. The record is from RNAcentral.